This 494-nucleotide ribosomal RNA is filed under the name uncultured Sphingobacteriales bacterium. RNAcentral describes it as "bacterial SSU rRNA". It matches the Rfam family "Bacterial small subunit ribosomal RNA", at positions 903 to 1382 of the family's 1533-position model. The record is from RNAcentral. Lineage: Bacteria; Pseudomonadati; Bacteroidota; Sphingobacteriia; Sphingobacteriales.
GCCCGCUCAGAACUACAAAGGAAUUGAGGGGGCCCCGCACAAGCGGUGGAGCAUGUGGUUUAAUUCGAUGAUACGCGAGGAACCUUACCUGGGCUCAAAUGUAUGUUGACGUAUUUCUGAAAGGGAUACUUCUUCGGACAAUAUACAAGGUGCUGCAUGGUUGUCGUCAGCUCGUGCCGUGAGGUGUCGGGUUAAGUCCCAUAACGAGCGCAACCCCUACCUUUAGUUGCCAUCAGGUAAUGCUGGGGACUCUAAAGGAACUGCCUACGCAAGUAGUGAGGAAGGCGGGGAUGACGUCAAAUCAGCACGGCCCUUACGUCCAGGGCUACACACGUGCUACAAUGGCCGAUACAGAGGGCAGCUACCUGGUGACAGGAUGCAAAUCUCCAAAGUCGGUCUCAGUUCGGAUCGGAGUCUGCAACCCGACUCCGUGAAGUUGGAUUCGCUAGUAAUCGCGCAUCAGCCAUGGCGCGGUGAAUACGUUCCCGGGCCUU